CCUUUGUACACACCGCCCGUCGCUACUACCGAUUGAACGGCUCAGUGAGGCCUUCGGACUGGCUCAGGGAGGUCGGCAACGACCACCCGGAGCCGGAAAGUUCGUCAAACUUGGUCGUUUAGAGGA
This 126-nucleotide ribosomal RNA is filed under the name Tubeufiaceae sp. Its description in RNAcentral is "partial small subunit ribosomal RNA". It matches the Rfam family "Eukaryotic small subunit ribosomal RNA", at positions 1657 to 1780 of the family's 1831-position model. The record is from RNAcentral. Lineage: Eukaryota; Fungi; Ascomycota; Dothideomycetes; Tubeufiales; Tubeufiaceae.